AUUGAACGCUGGCGGCAUGCCUUACACAUGCAAGUCGAACGGCAGCACGGGGGCAACCCUGGUGGCGAGUGGCGAACGGGUGAGUAAUACAUCGGAAUGUACCCAGUAGUGGGGGAUAACUAGUCGAAAGAUUAGCUAAUACCGCAUACGCACUAUGGUGGAAAGCGGGGGAUCGCAAGACCUCGCGCUAUUGGAGCAGCCGAUGUCCGAUUAGGUAGUUGGUGGGGUAAAGGCCUACCAAGCCUGCGAUCGGUAACUGGUCUGAGAGGACGACCAGUCACACUGGGACUGAGACACGGCCCAGACUCCUACGGGAGGCAGCAGUGGGGAAUUUUGGACAAUGGGGGAAACCCUGAUCCAGCAAUGCCGCGUGUGUGACGAAGGCCUUCGGGUUGUAAAGCCCUGUCAGGAGGGAAGAUAAAAGACGGUACCUCCGAAGGAAGCACCGGCGUAACUCCGUGCCAGCAG
Molecule: ribosomal RNA, 468 nt
Filed under: uncultured bacterium
Lineage: Bacteria
Description: bacterial SSU rRNA
Rfam family: Bacterial small subunit ribosomal RNA
Source: RNAcentral